Molecule: long non-coding RNA, 315 nt
Organism: Perognathus longimembris pacificus (Pacific pocket mouse)
Lineage: Eukaryota; Metazoa; Chordata; Mammalia; Rodentia; Heteromyidae
Exons: 3
Source: RefSeq, a predicted model, not a curated record
UGAAGUUCAAGGCCAGUCCAGGCAAGAAAGACAAUGCAAUAGAAUGUAAUUAGAGCUAGUAGUUCCUUCCAGGUUUUGGUGGAUCAUCUUGUACACCCUGGCAUUCUCCAGCAGGAGGCUAGACAGAACCAUCGGACCCAGAUGGGAAGGAAACAGCAGCCAUAGUAGUGUCAAUUCACCGUUCUAAUUAAAAAGAAUAAAGAAAAAUGGAGUGUGAGGAGAAAUUGUUUCAAUUCAAUAUGCCAAUUUAUGAAUAUAAUACAUCUUGAUCAAUAUCAUCUCUUCCAUCAUUCUCCUGCAAGGAACUAUUUUGAA